GUUGGCAUAAGGGCGAAUGGUGGAUGCCUAGACAUCAAAAGGCGACGAAGGACGCGGCGUAGCGGCGAUACGCUUCGGGGAGGUGCGUAGCAACCUGUGAUCCGGAGAUUUCCGAAUGGGGAAACCCAAUCGUGCAACCCACGAUUAUCCCGCAGCAAUGCGGGAUGCGAACCCGCUGAAGUGAAACAUCUCAGUAAGCGGAGGAACAAAGAACAAUCGUAUAUUCCCUAAGUAGCGGCGAGCGAAACGGGAAGAGCCGAAACUAAGGAAUAUUCUUCUCACAGAAGAAUGUUCCUCAGGGUAAUAAGAAAGAAACGCUCUUUUACACAUCGCAAAGCUCUUCAUAAAGAGCUCUGCGAUUUGUGGGAGGUGGAGGAGUUACAAAAUCCGAGCACAUAAUGAAAAUUAUAUGCUCGGCCGAGCAUAAAAUUCAUUUUGUGCUUUGGCUUUACUUAGCCGAACCCGUCUGGAAAGCGGGACCAAAGACGGUGAUAGUCCGGUAGGCGAAAAGUAAGGGUCUUCUUAGUUUUUUCCCCGCCUCGGCGGGGGUCCCGACUGCAUUGUCUGUAGCAAUACGAACGGUGCGUCAGGAUUCUUCAGUACUCCGAGGUCAAGCAGCUUCGGAGGAAUUCGCGAGUACUAUCUUGCAAGGCUAAAUACUUUUGAUGAUCGAUAGUGAACAAGUACCGUGAGGGAAAGGUGAAAAGCAGGCCGGUGAGGCCGUUGAAAUAGAACCUGAAACCAUUUGCCUACAAGGAACCGGGGGCCGAACGAUCUGCCGCAAGGCGGGACGAGGCUGACGGUGUGCCUAUUGAAGAAUGAGCCAACGACUUAUGGUGUGUUGCUGGUCUAAGCCCCAUUGGGGCGAAGGCACAGGGAAACCGAGUCUGAAUAGGGCGUGCAUUCUUCAAAGAUCUCCGUCCGAGCGAUCGGGCGGAAGUCUUUGAGAUUGCAGGCAGUACAUCAUAGACCCGAAGCCAGAUGAGCUUGCCUUGGCCAGGGUGAAAGCCGAUGAAAAUCGGCUGGAGGCCCGAACUGGUAGGUUGUUCAAAACCUUCGGAUGAGCUGAGGUAAGGAGUGAAAAGCUAAUCGAAUCUGGUAAUAGCUGGUUCUCUCCGAAAUAGUUUUAGGACUAGCGGCGCAAAGUAGCGCGUGGGGGUAGAGCACUGGAUGAUUGGUAAAGGCCGAAAGGCCGACCAAUCAAUCAAACUCCGAAUACCGCGCGUGUAAUUGCGCUAGUUAGACUGUGGGGGCUAAGCUCCAUGGUCAAAAGGGAAACAGCCCAAACCAUCAUCUAAGGUCCCUAAAUUUACGCUAAGUGUAAAAGGCAGUGUCGCGCCAUUGACAGAUAGGAGGUUGGCUUAGAGGUAGCCAUCCUUUAAAGAGUGUGUAACAACUCACUAUUCGAUCGGCCCGGCGCGCCGAAAAUGUACCGGGGCUCAAGCGUGAUACCGACGAUAUGGUCCCCCACCUUCUUCUUGUGCAGGAACAAUGUUUUUGAUGUGGUAGUAGAUACCACCGGGUCUUUGUUCGUGUAUAGUAAGAAGGUGGGGGAGGUAGGAGAGCAUUCGUAUUCCACCGAAGCCCCAGCCGCGAGGCGGGGUGGAGGAAUGCGAAGAGAGAAUGUUGGCAUGAGUAACCACAAUCCCAAUGAGAAAUUGGAACCCCGAAAAUCCAAGGUUUCCGAGGCACUGGCAAUCAACCUCGGGUUAGGCGGUCCUAAGGCGAUGGCGAAAGCCGCAGCUGAUGGGUAGCCGGUCAAUAUUCCGGCCCGCCGGACGGUGUGCGAUGGAGUGACAACGCGUAGUAGGUCAGGUGCCUUAUUGGUUUGGCAUCUUGGGCGUAAGGAGGCGAUCCUGGCAAAUCCGGGUCGAACCGCUUCAAUGCGGACCCUCCAAGCGUCACGGCCAGGUACGGUUUUUACCGUGCCAAGCUGGUUGAGCACGCGUUCGAGAAAAACUUCUAAGUUUAGCUGUCCGGCUCCGUACCGGAAACCGACACAGGUGGAUAGGGCGAGUAGCCCAAGGGGAACGAGUGAUUCAUCGUUAAGGAACUCGGCAAAAAAGCGGCCGUACCUUCGGUAUAAGGCCUUCCCCCACCGCUUUUGCUCGUCACGUUUUAACAAGGAGAAAGAAGUUUGCGCAGAGCAAACUCUGCUUUCCUUCCUGGGACGUCAUAAGCAAAAGUGGUGGGGGACGCAGCGAAAGUCUCCCUGGCGACUGUUUACCAAAAACACAGCUCCCUGCGAACUCGCAAGAGGAUGUAUAGGGGGUGACGCCUGACCGAUGCGAGAAGGUUAAACUUGGCAGUGCUCUGUAGCAAUAUGGAGUGCCGACCGAGCGAAGCCCUCGUCAAUGUCAGCGAUAACUAUAAUCGUUCUAAGGUGAACGCGUUGCCUUAGUAAAAUUCGGGUCCGCCGCCCGUAAGGGUGCGGACUCCCGGCUUCUCUGGUUUUGGAGUAUAAAUUGGAGCGUCGGGACUGUAUGCUGGAACAUCUGUUGUAUCCGAGGCUACUAUGGUAUAAUACGUCCAUAGGCGUAUAUGCCCAGUAACAAUGCAUUCGGUGCAGACAAUCAGCAGGAAAGACUAGAGUUGGCUUACUGGAUCACUGGCUUCACAGACGGCGAAGGAUGUUUCUCUAUCGCGGUUAUUAAGAACGCCACGACUCGUUUUGGAAAGCAGAUUUUUCCGGAAUUCGUGGUGACGCAAGGCGCGAAAAGCUUAGAAGCACUUGAGGAGAUCAAAAAAUUCUUCGGGUGCGGUAAGAUUUUCGUGAAUAAGCGUUACGAUAACCACCAUGAGCACCUUUACCGUUACUGCGUGCGAUCUAUUCCUGAUUUACAGUAUAAAAUCGUCCCGUUUUUCGAGCGGUUUGCACUGCACACCUACAAACAGAAUGACUUCGUCAUUUUUAAGAAGGUGGUGACGAUGAUGUCCCGCAAGGCGCAUCUUACGGAAAAGGGAUGGAUGAGAAUUACGCAAUUGAUAAGCCAGAUGAACAGAAAGAAAAAGCGAUUCUAGUAUCCUCAGAGACUAUACGCCGAACCCCGCCGAUGCGGGGAAGAUAUAGUCCGAACUGCAUAGCGAUAUGCAGAGUUGUCCCGCCGCUGGCGGGGCAGAGUAACACAUGUGAGCGCAAUUCCUUUCCGGGUAAGUUCCGGAGCGCACGAAAGGCGUAACGACUGGGGAACUGUCUCAACGAUGAGCUCGGUGAAAAUGCGAUUCCCGUGAAGACGCGGGAUACCUGCAGCGGGACGAAAAGACCCCGGAAGCUUUACUGCAGCCUGGUAUUGAUUUCAGGAUGUUCAUGCGUAGCGUAGUGGUGAGGAUUUGAAGUCCCGAUUUCGGUCGGGAUGGAUCCGACAAUGAAACAGCCAUCUUGAACGUUUUGACGUCUAACCGGUUGGGGACCGCGCACUUUCUGGAAUUAUCAUUGUAGAAAGUGUGCGGAAACCUGAUCGAGACAGUGCUUGGUAGGCAGUUUAAAUGGGGCGUUUUCCUCCUAAAGAGUAACGGAGGAGUUUAUUAAGGUCGGCUUAGCCCGGAUGGAAACCGGGCCAGACGUGUAAAGGCAUAAGCCGGCUUGACUGCGAGACCUACAAGUCGAGCAGGUGCGAAAGCAGAACUUAGUGACCCGACUGCCCUUCAUAGAAAGGCAGGAGACACCGGAUAAAAGCUACUCCGGGGAUAAACCCUGAAAUAAGGGUUGGUUGUCCUCUCCGCCAGCAAUGGCGGAGUAACAAAUACGGCUUAUAACGGUGAAGCGGAGACUGGUCUUUCCUGGCAACAGGUUUUAAAGUCUCCGUAAUACCGUGGGAAGUCGACAGGUAAUUAGGUAUAGUCUAGAAGUAUGAAGAUUAAUCGGGAGCAAGAAUCGGCGCUGGUUGGAAUGAUUUUGGGAGAUGCGUACCUCCAAAAAACAGGAGCUCACAAUGCGCGGCUGCGAUUGGAACAUCGGGCCGAGCAUCGUGAGUACCUCGUCUGGAAGACGCGGUUCAUUCCCGGAUUGUUCCAGGGCAAGCCGACUCUGCUCAAGAGAGUCCACCCGAAGACACACAGAACGUACUCCUACGUACGGCAACAAUCAAAUGCCUCGCCGUACAUAGGAAAACUGCGUGAACUGUUCUAUCCGGGCGGCACGAAAAAAAUUCCUGAAACAUUGAACCAGUGGUUAGUGUCCGACGUCGGCUUUGCGAUUUGGUUCUACGACGACGGAUACCAUUACGUUCGCGACCGUUCCUUGUAUCUAUAUCUUGGAACUGUUUCGCGCCGGGAAGCAAUCACUGCCGGCGCUGUGCUUCAGAAACGAUUUAAUCUUCGGACCACUAUUGCCGAUAAAGGCAAGAAGGGGUUCGCGCUGUAUUUUCCGGCAAGCGAGCGGGAUAAGGUUCGGAACAUACUCGCGACGUAUCGUGUGCCGGUUAUGGCAUAUAAAAUACCUGGUUAAUCUGUUUGACCCCGUAACGACUUGCUACUGUACGUAGCGGAGUUGUCCGUCUGAGACGGGCAGCUAAUACGCCGUCCCCCGACCACGGUCGGGGUGAAGAUAUAGUCUAGUGCAUUAAUGCAUUGAACAGGCUGGUGAAGUCCGAGAGUCCCUAUCGACGACUUCGCUCGGCACCUCGAUGUCGGCUCGCCCUAGCGCGGGGGUGUAGAAGCUCCCAAGCGUUUGGCUGUUCGCCAAUUAAAAGGGCACGUGAGCUGGGUAAGUGUAGAACACUUCAAACAUGAGCCCAGCGAUCCUUCGCACGAGGCGGUAGAAAUACCGAAUGAAGAAGGAAAAUAAAUUGACUCAUAACGGUGAAGUCCGAAUGCUCGAUUGAUGAUACAAUUGAGUAAUGGAUGAUACCGUGGGAAGUUUUACCUCUGUCAUUGAUUAGUAGUAUGAUUCCAAAAUGUCUUGGCUAAAGACAAAUUGGUUCAAACUUGCAUUGGUCAUUUUGGUUGGCGCGUUUGUGAUAGCGUACAUUUUUUAUGUACGCGAGCAGGCGAGGCCAAAAUCUUUUAAGGGCCAACUUUGGCAAGAAAUACAAAACCGACAGUAGAGGUAGUAACCCCGUAACGACUUGUCCCGCUAAGCGGGACAGAGUGAGGCGAUAGGAAGUUUAUCGUUUCGCUAACACGUCAGUCCCGAUACGAACGGAACGGUCGGGAAAGGUAUAGUCUAAUGCCGCUAGUAAUAGCGGAAGAAACAUUGUCAGACCGUCGUAAGACAGGUCGGUCUCUAUCUGUUGCAGGCGUAAGCGCUUGAGGGGAGUUGACCCUAGUAAACAACAUUGCUACUUCACGCAGUAAUGCGUGAUGACAAUUCGGCUAAUAACGGUGGAAUCUUAAGGCGGGGCGGUCCGUUGAUAGCCAUGGUCGUUUUCAGUCCUUACGACUAUGGUACAAUUAACUUGAGGACCGGCUUGGUCUUAAGACAAUAUCGUGGGAAGUCGAUCUAAAACUGACCUAGCAUACAUUGCUGGUUUUCUGGACGGCGAUGGCAGCUUGAUGAUUCAGAUCAAAAGAAGAUCCGAAUCGAAGCGCGGCACAACGCGCUUUAUGCUCACCAUCUGCUUCUACCAAGAUUCGCGGCACGAGAAACCGCUGUUCUGGAUUCGAGAUAGGCUUGGCAUAGGCUAUAUCUCGCGUCGGAACGACGGCAUGACGGAAUUGCGGAUCAAUGGAUACAAGCAGGUGCAGGGCAUCCUGAUUAAGCUUUUGCCAUUUCUGAAAUUCAAGAAAAAACAAGCAGGGUAUAUUCUUGCUGCCGCCAAGCUGCUUCAGGCUGAGCGGAGCGAGAAAGUAGCUAGAAAAAUAGUAAACGCCAUCCUCUUGGUUCAGGCGGAAAACUAUGUGACCCGCAAGAAAAGGACCAGAGGAGAGUUGCUAAAAGCUUUAGAUUUGACCCCGUAACGACUUGUCUCCGAUUUCGGUCGGAGCAGAGUCCUGCCUCGGCAGGACUAAUACGCCGACACCCGCCCUCCUCGUGGAGGGGGUGAAGAUAUAGUCUAAGCACGUAGCGAUACGUGACCAACUUGACGAGAGGACUGGGUUGAACGAACCGCUGGUCUACCGGCUUUGGUACCAACUGAACCGCCGGGUAGCUAUGUUCGGACGGGAUAAGUGCUGAAAGCAUCUAAGCACGAAGCCCACCCCAAGAUGAGGCGCAAUGGUCUCGUCGGAGACUACGACGUUGAUAGGCGCUCGGUGUAAGGUCCGCAAGGAUUUUAGCCAAGGCGUAC
Molecule: ribosomal RNA, 6227 nt
Filed under: Candidatus Liptonbacteria bacterium RIFCSPLOWO2_01_FULL_56_20
Lineage: Bacteria; Candidatus Liptoniibacteriota
Description: partial 23S ribosomal RNA
Rfam family: Bacterial large subunit ribosomal RNA (bases 1-3743)
Source: RNAcentral